AUAUAUAGUAGAUCUUGUGUGCUAUUAGGAGCAGAAAAUUUUUAUACUAUUUACAGUAAGAUUAAUAUCUCUGAUCGAAAAUUUUAGUGUUAUAUCACCACUUUUUGUGAGAUUUUUAUUUUCAGCCGUUGAUUUUGAAUCAUUUCGAACGCCAGGUAAAUGAUAUAAAAAAAUCAUAAAAUUUAUUUUCUAAAUACUUCAAAUACGCUAGAUCAAGUCUAACGGAGUCGAUCGUCGAUUCGGAAGCUCCAUGAUCGAAAACGGCUUAGGAGCACGGAGGGCUCCGUGCUCCUAAUAGCACACAAGACCUACUAUAUAUAUAUAGAGAGAGAACUAGACUGGAAUACUAUCAAUAGCACAAAAUUAUUGGUGCUAUUGAUUUUUUAGCCCUUUGCUUGAGAAAUGGAUGAUUAGGAUGAUGUGGGUCCCCUAAGGUUGAGUGAGUGGUUGGUUGAAUAGUAUAAUCUAACGGGUAAAAAUAAUCAGAGGAUUAAAUCUAACGGUGGAAAACUCGAUAACACCAAAUCAGAAUUAUCCCAAAUAAAUUAUUGUAUCCAUAUACCUUUCCAUGCAUAUUUGAUCCCUCAUUUCCCAGUAUUGGUAAUGGGGUGAUGUCUCAUUGGACAAAAGCUUUAUUUUUACAUUAUCAACAAAUUGAUGUCACUGACUGUCCCUAGAGCAAGUGAUAAUGGACUUGGUGGUUGGUACCCGAGGUCCCAAGUUCAAAUUCUAGUUGAUUUACAUUUCUAACUAAGUUUAUUUCUAAAUAAAAUAAAUGAAGCGGGUAGCGUGCUACCUAUCUUUCACGCCCUUGUGCGUUCACUUAACUUCUCUUUUGUCCUUUUUUAUUU
Molecule: long non-coding RNA, 851 nt
Filed under: Ananas comosus (pineapple)
Lineage: Eukaryota; Viridiplantae; Streptophyta; Magnoliopsida; Poales; Bromeliaceae
Description: long non-coding RNA (ACOM_LNC011075)
Source: RNAcentral